Gallus gallus (chicken) is the source of this 1394-nucleotide long non-coding RNA. Lineage: Eukaryota; Metazoa; Chordata; Aves; Galliformes; Phasianidae. The record is from Ensembl.
AUCAUACUUUGCUUAUCUUCUAUCACAAAGCCUUGCCCUCUUGCUAAAGCCACAGCAAGUCGCUGCACCAUCUCCUCCUAGGAAACAAUGGGUAGUUCCCUCUGUGGCUUUGCAAGCAACAGAUAUUGGGCUUUAGCUUUCUGGCAGAGAACUUUUCCAUUUACACAGUGUUAUGUGAAGGUUACUUUACAACUUAGAGCAAGAAGACAAAGCUGUGAAGUAUAUAUACAAGUCUACUCUGACAACAGAAAAAAUACAUACGUUAUUUUCUUCUUGUUGCUUAUUUCUUUACAACCUUGAUAGCAAGUUGCACUAACUAGAAUAUGCAUCAUUAGACUUAUGUCUCAUAGAACAAAAGAAAUACCAAAUGCUGUGUAUUUUGGAUAUAGUGAAAUUAAAUCUCUCCUGCGUAUAUUAUGCUAUUAGAAUGGCUCAAACACAUCACAAGUACUGACACUCUGCAGAAUUUCUGGAAUGCUGUGCUGUUCCUUGAUGCCAUUCAUGAAGACAACAGAUCUCCUCCUCCACUCGUGCACCGAUGCAUGCUCUCCAUUACCCUGCUUGCAGCAAAUGACACUGACAAGUACAGACCAUGACAAAACGUCUCUCCCUGCUACUAACAAGGCUGCUCCAGUGCUCUGCAACUUUCUUCUUUACAGCCACUGCAUUUUCUAUCUUCUUUUGGACAUGAAGUAACAUCUCGGUCCAACUAAAUUAGUAAAGUCUCCUAAAUAAAGGCAAGUUUAUCUCAGAGCAGAGAACACCUCGCUACAUAAGGAAGCGCAGUGGAAGCAUUCUGUCAACUGAUGAACGGAGGAUUAGAACUCAAACUGAAACACUUCUCAUUCACAGAGCUCAAGUGCUUUAUUCGUGAGCAUAAGCAUCAUAUGGCGUGGUACAUAUCCAGCUCAUUAAACUCAGAUUUGGGAAGGUUAAGCAAUGUGUCCAGAAUUACCUAGCAAGUCUAACAGUAGAGCAAGAGGCAGAAGCUGCUUCCUCAGUCUGAGCCCCUUUGCAAUGGGUUCAACAAGAUGAGUGACUUCAGAUCAACGGAUCAACUAAUUUUUCUUGACAAACAACAGCUUUUUAAGGCAACUGUUAUAUGUGUCUGUUGCACAUACCAAGCAAAAACAUAAACCCUUCACUUGUAUGAAUAUGAAAACAUUACACAUUGAAAAAUGGAAAGUAUUAAUGCAAAACUUAUCUGUAUCACAGUGCAAUUCACAUCCAGGUACAGCUGCUGAUGCUCCAGAAUGACCAGGAAGCCCUUCCAUUAUACCUGCACUGUGCUGGUUAAUUCAUGUAUAUUCACAGAGCUGAAUGCUUCGGAAAGCUGAAUGCUUCACGUUCUUUUCAUUCUCAAUAUCUGAAUGUGAUUAAAAUUCGUUAAAGAG